This 581-nucleotide ribosomal RNA is filed under the name uncultured bacterium. Its description in RNAcentral is "bacterial SSU rRNA". It matches the Rfam family "Bacterial small subunit ribosomal RNA", at positions 338 to 916 of the family's 1533-position model. The record is from RNAcentral.
CCUACGGGAGGCAGCAGUAGGGAAUAUUGGGCAAUGGGCGGAAGCCUGACCCAGCCAUGCCGCGUGAAGGAAGACGGCCUUAUGGGUUGUAAACUUCUUUACUAUGCGACUAACUAGAUUUACGAGAUAAUUCUAUAGAAUGUAGCAUAGCAAAAAGCACCGGCUAACUCCGUGCCAGCAGCCGCGGUAAUACGGAGGGUGCGAGCGUUAUUCGGAAUUACUGGGUUUAAAGGGUGCGUAGGCGGCUAAGUAAGUUGUCAUUGAAAGGCUACAGCUCAACUGUAGUAGUGGUGGCGAUACUGCUUAGCUAAGAACAUGGGAGGGGUACUUGGAAUGUGUGGUGUAGCGGUGAAAUGCGUAGAUAUCACACAGAACACCAGAGGCGAAGGCGGAGUACUAGACCAUAGUUGACGCUGAGGCACGAAAGCGUGGGGAUCAAACAGGAUUAGAUACCCUGGUAGUCCACGCCCUAAACGAUGAUCACUAGAUAUUGGCGACAAACAGUCAGUGUCCAAGCGAAAGUGAUAAGUGAUCCACCUGGGGACUACGGCCGCAAGGUUAAAACUCAAAUGAAUUGACGG